GUUAAAAAGAACAAAGAAAGAAAGAUGGAUAGGUUUUAUUCUUAUAGUACUACAAAGAAGUUUUUUUUAUCAAUUCAUUUAUUACCUGCAAUAUGAAAAAUGUAGUAUAUGUUCUCGUAUGCCCAUGUGGUCUCCAAUAUGUGGGGAAAACAUCUAGGCCCCUUAAGAUUAGGAAAUGAGAACAAAUAUAUAAUAUCAAAAGAGGAUAUGCUAAUCAUAGCGUAUCCCUACAUUGUUUAGAGAAUCACGAUAAAAAAACUGACUUUCUUUUAUUUUUUGGAG
This is a non-coding RNA of Pelobates cultripes (western spadefoot toad), 282 nucleotides long. NCBI's taxonomy places the organism in Eukaryota, Metazoa, Chordata, Amphibia, Anura, Pelobatidae. The record is from the annotation of a GenBank genome assembly.